This 466-nucleotide ribosomal RNA is filed under the name uncultured bacterium. RNAcentral's name for it is "bacterial SSU rRNA". It matches the Rfam family "Bacterial small subunit ribosomal RNA", at positions 338 to 795 of the family's 1533-position model. The record is from RNAcentral.
CCUACGGGAGGCAGCAGUGGGGAAUAUUGGACAAUGGGGGCAACCCUGAUCCAGCAAUGCCGCGUGUGUGAAGAAGGCCUGAGGGUUGUAAAGCACUUUUGUUGGGGAGGAUGGAGUACUAUGUUAAGAGCUAAGUACUUUGACGUUACCCAAAGAAUAAGCACCGGCUAACUCCGUGCCAGCAGCCGCGGUAAUACGGAGGGUGCAAGCGUUAAUCGGAAUUACUGGGCGUAAAGAGUGCGUAGGCGGUAAAGUAAGUUAUCUGUGAAAUCCCUGGGCUUAACCUAGGUGGGAAAGAUAAAACUGCUUAACUAGAGUGUGGUAGAGGAUAGUGGAAUUUCCGGUGUAGCGGUGAAAUGCGUAGAGAUCGGAAGGAACACCAGUGGCGAAGGCGGCUAUCUGGACCAACACUGACGCUGAGGCACGAAAGCGUGGGGAGCAAACAGGAUUAGAUACCCCAGUAGUC